GCGGGGUGGGGCGGGGCGGGGGCGGGACGUAGAGGGGCGGGGCGGGAUCGCUUCCCAGUAAUAAGUACUGGCGGGCUUCUGUGAGAACCGGGAAGUAACGACUCGGAGAUGGAAUUGUUCAGAGCGGAGACUAGUAGGAAAUUGGGAUUCCAAUUCGACUCCUGAACUCAUACCAUUACUUCCUAACUGGGUCAAAUUAAUCAAACUCUAUGUUUAGCAAACCUCACUUGUGUCAUCUCACUGAUGUUAUCCAUGUUCUCCAAGACAAAAGUGGCCGGACAGGAUUGUCAGCUACAGGAUCUUAAAUGGUAGCUCAUCCACCAGUAGCCAAGAAGGAUGCUUGUAAUGAUGAACUACCACUGUGCUGGAGCAUGAGCAGUAAGACGGCAAAAACAGAAGGCAACGAGAGCAAGAGGACACUUUCUAAAAAGACAACUAUCACUUCAAACAAUAAAGGCACAGCUCCACAAAACAUUUAUUCAGCAAAGUAACUAUACUCCGUGCCAACAGCACAUACUGACAUCGCAACAAACAAUUCUGCAAAGAUCAUCCCUAAUGAACAAGGAAUACUAGCCCCACCGGGGAGGUGGGAAUUCACUCUGACUGGGAGGGCUCCACAGAGGUAGCUGCUUACCCCGGUCUUAAUAGAUGAGGAGGAUUUUACUGGAUAGAUCAAGGAGAAAGCAGAUGUAGGGAGAGGAAAUAGCAUGUGUGGAAGUCCAGAUUCUAAAACAGAAAGAUGUGUCCAAGGACCCUCGACCAGGACUAUGUGGCUGCAUGUGGCUGCAGUGACGUGAGAGAAGCUGGGAAAGAUCCCUCUGUGGCAGUAUGAAGAAUGGAUUAGACAGGGAAGAAUAUUCAGGAGAGUAUGUGACAGAUUGCCGGAAAUCAGGCAGGAGCAAGAAAAUGGGCCAACAUACAGCCAUCCAGAGUGAAGAUGAAUUACCGAAAAUCUCUGUGAAAUAAGCAGGUGAAGCGGCAGAUCAAAGAGCGCAUCCCAGGGGUUGGUUAAGCAAGGGUGUGUCCAGCCUGCGGUGGGUCAAAGACAGGAAUUUAUUGGAAACAUCACUUUCAAUGAUCAGUAAGCUAAAAGAUUUGGAUCUUUUAAAAAAGAAUAAAAAGAUACAUUUUCCUUUUGAGUCUUUGGGAAGAAUUUACAGAAGAUACAGAAUAAUACAAAAACUUAUCAUGUGCUCACUCCUACCCCCAAUUUAGCACGUUAACAUUUUCUUCUUUUUUCUUAAUUUGUUCUAUUUGUACUUAUUUGUUUUUCUUAUAAAUCAGUGGCUCUCAAGGAGAGGAGGAAGGACAUUUUUCCUCCCCAGGGGACAUUUGGCAAUGUCUGGAGAUAUUUUUGGUUGUGACAACUGGGGACUGCUACUAGCAUCUAUUGGAUAGAGGCCAGGGAUGCUGCUAAACGCCCCAAAAUGCGCAGGACCACACCCAC
Molecule: long non-coding RNA, 1447 nt
Filed under: Equus caballus (horse)
Lineage: Eukaryota; Metazoa; Chordata; Mammalia; Perissodactyla; Equidae
Description: lncRNA (ENSECAG00000056613.1)
Source: RNAcentral